Molecule: ribosomal RNA, 369 nt
Filed under: Triticum aestivum (bread wheat)
Lineage: Eukaryota; Viridiplantae; Streptophyta; Magnoliopsida; Poales; Poaceae
Description: partial small subunit ribosomal RNA
Source: RNAcentral
AUGGAUCGUGUUCUGAACAAAAAAUUUGUUCGGGUAUACUUAGAAGAAAUAAAAAGUAAAAACAGAGUGUGCACAGGAAAAGUGAACAAAGGCAUGAAUAUUUGUUACUUUCUGAUUUUAGAUGGGUCAACAACCUGUAUUGAGACUUCAAAUUUUGUAAACAAAUUCUUAAUCAAAGAAUAUGUCUAUGGUUAUUUUUUUUCCUAUCAAUUUUUUUCUUCUAAUUUGUCUACUUCAUACGAAUUUGAACCUGCAAGUGUUCAUGUCGCAAAUUGCAUACUCAUGUUCCAAUUUGUUCAAAACACUUACAUGUAUAUUGUUGUGAACAAAAUUCUAAUUUGUCUACUUCAUACGGAUUUGAACCUUUAA